Non-coding RNA from Halomonas sp. PBN3, 111 nucleotides. The record is from Rfam. Lineage: Bacteria; Pseudomonadati; Pseudomonadota; Gammaproteobacteria; Oceanospirillales; Halomonadaceae.
ACUUGUCGCCAGGGGAGUCCCGCCGCAUCCGCGGGGGCUGAGAGGGCCAAGCGCCGACCCUGGAACCUGAUCCGGUUAAUACCGGCGGAGGAAGUGCGACAUGCCUUACCU